Micropterus dolomieu (smallmouth bass) is the source of this 4538-nucleotide long non-coding RNA. RefSeq lists it as uncharacterized. The record is from RefSeq and is a predicted model, not a curated record. NCBI's taxonomy places the organism in Eukaryota, Metazoa, Chordata, Actinopteri, Centrarchiformes, Centrarchidae. The transcript has 2 exons.
UGUUAGUAGUGAUGUCAGUGGUGAUGUCAAUAGGUGAUGUCAGUAGGUGUCAGUCGUGAUGUCAAUCGUGAUGUCAGUGGUGAUGUCAGAAGGGGUCAGUAGUGAUGUAAGUAGGUAUCAGUGGUGAUGUCAAUAGGGGAUGUCAGUAGUGUCAUUGCUGAUGUCAAUAGGUGAUGUCAGUAGGUGUCAGUGGUGAUGUCAAUAGGUGAUGUCAGUAGGUGUCAGUGGUGAUGUCAAUAGGGGAUGUCAGUAGUGUCAUUGCUAAUGUCAACAGGGGAUGUCAGUAGGUGUCAGUGGUGAUGUCAAUAGGUGAUGCCAGUAGGUGUCAUUGCUGAUGUCAAUAGGUGAUGUCAGUAGGUGGCAGUGGUGAUGUCAGUAGGUGUCAGUAGUUAUGUCAGUAGGUGUCAGUAGAUGUCAAUCGUGAUGUUAGUAGUGAUGUCAGUGGUGAUGUCAAUAGGUGAUGUCAGUAGGUGUCAGUCGUGAUGUCAAUCGUGAUGUCAGUGGUGAUGUCAGAAGGGGUCAGUAGUGAUGUAAGUAGGUAUCAGUGGUGAUGUCAAUAGGGGAUGUCAGUAGUGUCAUUGCUGAUGUCAAUAGGUGAUGUCAGUAGGUGUCAGUGGUGAUGUCAAUAGGUGAUGUCAGUAGGUGUCAGUGGUGAUGUCAAUAGGGGAUGUCAGUAGUGUCAUUGCUAAUGUCAACAGGGGAUGUCAGUAGGUGUCAGUGGUGAUGUCAAUAGGUGAUGCCAGUAGGUGUCAUUGCUGAUGUCAAUAGGUGAUGUCAGUAGGUGGCAGUGGUGAUGUCAGUAGGUGUCAGUAGUUAUGUCAGUAGGUGUCAGUAGAUGUCAAUCGUGAUGUUAGUAGUGAUGUCAGUGGUGAUGUCAAUAGGUGAUGUCAGUAGGUGUCAGUCGUGAUGUCAAUCGUGAUGUCAAUCGUGAUGUCAGUGGUGAUGUCAGUAGGGGUCAGUAGUGAUGUCAGUGGUGAUGUCAGUAUAUGAUGUCAGUAGAUGUCAAUCGUGAUGUCAAUCAUGAUGUCAGUAGUGAUGUCAGUGGUGAUGUCAGUAGGGGUCAGUAGUGAUGUCAGUAGGUGUCAGUGGUGAUGUCAGUAGAUGUCAGUCAUGAUGUCAAUCGUGAUGUCAGUGGUGAUGUCAGUAGUGAUGUCAGUAGUGAUGUCAGUGGUGAUGUCAGUAGGGGUCAGUAGUGAUGUCAGUAGGUGUCAGUGGUGAUGUCAGUAGAUGUCAGUCAUGAUGUCAAUCGUGAUGUCAGUGGUGAUGUCAGUAGUGAUGUCAGUAGUGAUGUCAGUGGUGAUGUCAGUAGGGGUCAGUAGUGAUGUCAGUAGGUGUCAGUGGUGAUGUCAGUAGAUGUCAGUCAUGAUGUCAAUCGUGAUGUCAGUGGUGAUGUCAGUAGUGAUGUCAGUAGUGAUGUCAGUGGUGAUGUCAGUAGGGGUCAGUAGUGAUGUCAGUAGGUGUCAGUGGUGAUGUCAGUAGAUGUCAGUCAUGAUGUCAAUCGUGAUGUCAGUGGUGAUGUCAGUAGUGAUGUCAGUAGUGAUGUCAGUGGUGAUGUCAGUAGGGGUCAGUAGUGAUGUCAGUAGGUGUCAGUGGUGAUGUCAGUAGAUGUCAGUCAUGAUGUCAAUCGUGAUGUCAGUGGUGAUGUCAGUAGGUGAUGUCAGUAGGUGUCAGUAGUGAUGUCAGUGGUGAUGUCAGUAUAUGAUGUCAGUAGAUGUCAAUCGUGAUGUCAAUCGUGAUGUCAGUAGGUGUCAUGAGUGAUGUCAGUAGAUGUCAAGGGGGAUGUCAGUAUGUCAGUAGUACCCAGGUUGGCGGCGAGCUGCAGUGGAGUUCUGUGUUUGUAGUCGGUGCAGCUGAUGGAGGCUCCGGCCUGCAGCAGCAGUCUGAUUGAACCUACAGCUUCAUUCUUGGCAGCAUAGUGAAGGGGAGUCUGCUGGUCCAGAAGAGUCCGAGCCUCUGGAUCAGCUGAAGACAUCACACACACACAAAGACACAAAGACACACACACACUGAUCUGAUCUGCACGUUCAACAGCUGUCAAACCCUAGUUGUAGUUGUUCUAUGGUGCCAAAUAAUCGUGUCUCUUCAUUAAAAGACGGAGAUGUUCAAAAGUUUCUGUCUGUUUCAGCAGGAGAUCUUCAUUCAUUUCAGGAACAAUACACAAUCUGCCAGAGACCACAGAACCAGAGACCAGCUUGAAAAGGGGCAGGACUUUUCUAUGGCUCUAAACACCACAGUCAUGGACCAAUGAUAAGACAGUGGGGUCCCCAACCCUCCUACAACCCUCCUCCUCCCGACUGAAAGAGACACAAAACAACAACUACAAACCAUGCAGCUGCGUCAUUCGUGGUAGUUUUGCAUUUGUUUGUAGUUGUUUUUAAGACCACAAGAGGUCAGGGUGAAAGUGGGUCAGAGCCCGGUAGACCUGUUAAAUAAUCUAUCCAUCUAUUACUACAGAACCCAUGAGCCUCAGCAGCUGUGGACUGACUCUGGGUAGGACAGACAACAACAAAAUGUCCGAGCGGUCCGUAAACACUCCCUGGACCUGUCCACACAGACCUUUUUGGUCCAGCAGGAACUGAACCAUGUCGUGGUAGUCCAGCGCCGAGGCCACAUGGAGCACCGUGACUCCAAACUGAUCAGGCUGGAGAAGAUCUGAACCCCGGUCCAAGAAGAACCGCAUCACAUCCACACUCCAAGCCCUGGAGACCUGAACACGGACACUGUGUUCACCAAACAGACAAACUUUAUCACACAAGCAAGACAAAUAAAACUUGACACUAGGUUUUUAUCCAGUCUGUCUCUAAAUAAAAAUCCAGGAAGACAAACCUGCUGUGGCUGUAUAUAGGAAACAUCCUAAAGGCUUUGGUAACUCAUGGAUGAACAUAUAUGUUUUGGAGCAGUGGAUGGGGAGUUUGACGAUGAUUGUAUUGAUUUUGUGUCUUGUAGAGAAACUAAAUAAAGCUGUGGAAUAAAUUCAAAUAAAAGUCCCGUGCUGACCUCAUGUAGGAUGGUCUGUCCGUAUCUGUCUGAGCUGUUUGGAUCGGCUCCCUCUGAAAUCACUUCAUCCAGAAACUCAAGGUCCACCUGCACAAACACACAGACAUGUUCAAGAGGAUCUAACACUGACUGAACCAAACUGUGAACCUGCUGCUACAUAAUCUAACACAUUUUCAUACUUUGGUACAUUGAUAUGGCCCCUGUAUCCUUUCACAUUACAUUACUUUCCAGCUUUGUUUAGUUUGUUUUACUCUGAUUAAUAUUAAUAUACUUGGUCAUUGUUACCUGGUCGGUGUUACCUGGUCAUUGUUACCUGGUCAUUGUUACCUGGUCAUUGUUACCUGGUCAGUAUUACCUGGUCAUGUUACUUAGUCUUGUUACCUGGUCAGUGUUACCUGGUCAUUGUUACCUGGUCAUUGUUACCUGGUCGGUGUUACCUGGUCAUUGUUACCUGGUCAGUGUUACGUGGUCAUUGUUACCUGGUCAUUGUUACCUGGUCAUUGUUACCUGGUCGGUGUUACCUGGUCAGUGUUACCUGGUCAUUGUUACCUGGUCAGUGUUACCUGGUCAUUGUUACCUGGUCAUUGUUACCUGGUCAUUGUUACCUGGUCGGUGUUACCUGGUCAUUGUUACCUGGUCGGUGUUACCUGGUCAUUGUUACCUGGUCAUUGUUACCUGGUCAUUGUUACCUGGUUGGUGUUACCUGGUCAUUGUUACCUGGUCAUUGUUACCUGGUCGGUGUUACCUGGUCAUUGUUACCUGGUCAGUGUUACCUGGUCAUUGUUACCUGGUCGGUGUUAUCUGGUCAUUGUUACCUGGUCAUUGUUACCCGGUCAGCAUUACCUGGUAAGUGUUACCUGGUCAUUGUUACCUGAUCAUUGUCUGUGAAGGUUUUAAGUCAUACAGGUCAUAGUUAUCCAAAGAAGGUUAAAGUCAAGGGUAACUGGACUAGAUCUUCAACCAAGUCCAGUUGCCCUUGACUUUAACCUUCUUUGCAUUACCGGGUCAUUGUUACCUGGUCAGCAUUAUCUGGUCGGUGUUACCUGGUCUACGUUACCUGAUCAGUGUUACCUGGUCGUGUUACUUAGUCUUGUUACCUGAUCAGUGUUACCUGGUCAUAUUACUUAGUCUUGUUACCUGGCGAUUGUUACCUGGUCGGUGUUACCUGGUCAUUGUUACAUCAUGUCACCUGGUUGGUGUUACCUGGUCAGUGUUACCUGGUCAUUGUUACCUGGUCUGUGUUACCUGGUCAUUGUUACCUUGUCAUUGUUACAUCAUUGUCACCUGGUUGGUGUUACCUGGUCAGUGUUACCUGGUCAUUGUUACUUGGUCGUAUUACUUAGUCUUGUUACCUGGCCAUUGUUACCUGGUCGGUGUUACCUGGUCAUAUUACUUAGUCUUGUUACCUGGUCAUUGUUACUUGGUCGUAUUACUUAGUCUUGUUACCUGGCCAUUGUUACCUGGUCGGUGUUACCUGGUCAUAUUACUUAGUCUUGUUACCUGGCCAUUGUUACCUGGUCGGUGUUACCUGGUCAUUGUUA